GGGCUGGUAGUUCAACUCGGUAGAACGCUCCCUUGGCUAGGGAGAGGCUCCGGGUUCAAAUCCCGGCCAGUCCA
RNAcentral lists this transfer RNA (74 nucleotides) under Candidatus Woesearchaeota archaeon. Its description in RNAcentral is "tRNA-Ala". It matches the Rfam family "tRNA". From Rfam's summary of the family: Transfer RNA (tRNA) molecules are approximately 80 nucleotides in length. Their secondary structure includes four short double-helical elements and three loops (D, anti-codon, and T loops). Lineage: Archaea; Nanobdellati; Candidatus Woesearchaeota. The record is from RNAcentral.